ACGAACGCUGGCGGCGUGCUUAACACAUGCAAGUCGAACGGUGAAGCGCCUUCCUUUUUGGUGGGUGUGGAUGAGUGGCGAACGGGUGAGUAACACGUGAGUAACCUGCCCCCUUCUUCUGGAUAACCGCAUGAAAGUGUGGCUAAUACGGGAUAUUCUGGGUCUGUCGCAUGAUGGGUCUGGGAAAGAUAUUGUUUCGGUGGGGGAUGGGCUCGCGGCCUAUCAGCUUGUUGGUGGGGUGAUGGCCUACCAAGGCGGUGACGGGUAGCCGGCCUGAGAGGGUGGACGGUCACACUGGGACUGAGACACGGCCCAGACUCCUACGGGAGGCAGCAGUGGGGAAUAUUGCACAAUGGGCGCAAGCCUGAUGCAGCGACGCCGCGUGAGGGAUGGAGGCCUUCGGGUUGUGAACCUCUUUCGCCAGUGAAGCAGGACUGCCUCGUUUGUGGGUGGGUUGACGGUAGCUGGAUAAGAAGCGCCGGCUAACUACGUG
Molecule: ribosomal RNA, 493 nt
Filed under: uncultured bacterium
Lineage: Bacteria
Description: partial 16S ribosomal RNA
Rfam family: Bacterial small subunit ribosomal RNA
Source: RNAcentral